UGACGGCCCUAUGGGUUGUAAACUGCUUUUNUANNCCANGNANGGGUNCUACGUGUAGGGCACUGACGGUAGCGUAGGAAUAAGCAUCGGCUAACUCCGUGCCAGCAGCCGCGGUAAUACGGAGGAUGCAAGCGUUAUCCGGAUUCAUUGGGUUUAAAGGGUGCGCAGGCGGGAAAGUAAGUCAGUGGUGAAAAACUGCCGCUCAACGGUAGUCGUGCCAUUGAUACUGCUUUCCUUGAGUUUGGAUGAGGUAGGCGGAAUGUGCAGUGUAGCGGUGAAAUGCAUAGAUAUUGCACAGAACACCAAUUGCGAAGGCAGCUUACUAAUCCACGACUGACGCUGAGGCACGAAAGCGUGGGGAGCGAACAGGAUUAGAUACCCUGGUAGUCCACGCCGUAAACGAUGUUCACUCGCUGUUUGCGAUACACAGUAAGCGGCUGAGCGAAAGCAUUAAGUGAACCACCUGGGGAGUACGAUCGCAAGGUUGAAACUCAAAGGAAUUGACGGGGGCCCGCACAAGCGGAGGAACAUGUGGUUUAAUUCGAUGAUACGCGAGGAACCUUACCUGGGCUUAAAUGUAGAGUGCAUGCGGUGGAAACACCCUUCCCUUCGGGGCUCUCUGCAAGGUGCUGCAUGGUUGUCGUCAGCUCGUGCCGUGAGGUGUCGGGUUAAGUCCCAUAACGAGCGCAACCCCUAUCGAUAGUUACCAGCACGUAAUGGUGGGGACUCUAUCGAGACUGCCGGUGUAAACCGUGAGGAAGGUGGGGAUGACGUCAAAUCAGCACGGCCCUUACAUCCAGGGCUACACACGUGUUACAAUGGCCGGUACAAAGGGCAGCUACACAGCGAUGUGAUGCUAAUCUCAAAAGCCGGUCUCAGUUCGGAUCGAAGUCUGCAACCCGACUUCGUGAAGCUGGAUUCGCUAGUAAUCGCGCAUCAGCCAUGGCGCGGUGAAUACGUUCCCGGGCCUUGUACACACCGCCUGUCAAGCCAUGGAAGCCGGGGGUACCUGAAGUAUGUAACCGCAAGGAGCNNC
RNAcentral lists this ribosomal RNA (1036 nucleotides) under uncultured bacterium. Its description in RNAcentral is "bacterial SSU rRNA". It matches the Rfam family "Bacterial small subunit ribosomal RNA", at positions 409 to 1456 of the family's 1533-position model. The record is from RNAcentral.